UACAGAGGGUGCGAGCGUUAAUCGGAAUUACUGGGCGUAAAGCGCGCGUAGGCGGCUUUUCAAGUCGAUUGUGAAAUCCCCGGGCUUAACCUGGGAACCGCAGUCGAGACUGUCUAGCUAGAGUAUGGGAGAGGGAAGUGGAAUUUCAGGUGUAGCGGUGAAAUGCGUAGAUAUCUGAAGGAACAUCAGUGGCGAAAGCGACUUCCUGGACCAAUACUGACGCUCAUGUGCGAAAGCGUGGGGAGCAAACAGG
This 253-nucleotide ribosomal RNA is filed under the name uncultured bacterium. Its description in RNAcentral is "partial 16S ribosomal RNA". It matches the Rfam family "Bacterial small subunit ribosomal RNA", at positions 524 to 776 of the family's 1533-position model. The record is from RNAcentral.